GGUCAGGGGUCACAGGUCCUGCUCAUGCAUCUGCUGCUGCAUCUUCUGAAGCAUCUGCUGCAUCCUCCUCAACUGCAGAGACCAGGACAAGACAAAGAAAAGGGGGAUGAGAGACGCCUUACAUAAUAACGCAUAUGGGCGUGGACAGCGGCAGGAUCGGGAGGGGGCUCUCCACCCGCUUAUCUGCAUUCAUCUUACUGUGAGAUAAGAGAUAAACAUGAAGGAGGAUAACUGCAAGCCACUGGGUUUUCAUUUGUUUCACUGCAGUAUGGAAAUAAACUUGCAGCAACCUC
Siniperca chuatsi (mandarin fish) is the source of this 293-nucleotide long non-coding RNA. RefSeq lists it as uncharacterized. The record is from RefSeq and is a predicted model, not a curated record. NCBI's taxonomy places the organism in Eukaryota, Metazoa, Chordata, Actinopteri, Centrarchiformes, Sinipercidae. The transcript is spliced from 2 exons.